CGGGGUGUAGCUUAGCUUGGUAGAGCGCCUGCUUUGGGAGCAGGAGGUCGCUGGUUCGAAUCCAGUCACCCCGA
Molecule: transfer RNA, 74 nt
Filed under: Candidatus Margulisiibacteriota bacterium
Lineage: Bacteria; Bacillati; Candidatus Margulisiibacteriota
Description: tRNA-Pro
Rfam family: tRNA
About the family: Transfer RNA (tRNA) molecules are approximately 80 nucleotides in length. Their secondary structure includes four short double-helical elements and three loops (D, anti-codon, and T loops). Further hydrogen bonds mediate the characteristic L-shaped molecular structure. tRNAs have two regions of fundamental functional importance: the anti-codon, which is responsible for specific mRNA codon recognition, and the 3' end, to which the tRNAs corresponding amino acid is attached (by aminoacyl-tRNA synthetases). tRNAs cope with the degeneracy of the genetic code in two manners: having more than one tRNA (with a specific anti-codon) for a particular amino acid; and 'wobble' base-pairing, i.e. permitting non-standard base-pairing at the 3rd anti-codon position.
Source: RNAcentral